Long non-coding RNA from Coregonus clupeaformis (lake whitefish), 1238 nucleotides. RefSeq lists it as uncharacterized. The record is from RefSeq and is a predicted model, not a curated record. The transcript has 4 exons. NCBI's taxonomy places the organism in Eukaryota, Metazoa, Chordata, Actinopteri, Salmoniformes, Salmonidae.
CCGGGGACGACGAAUGCCGAAGCCUGCCCGAACAAGGAGGAGGAGCAGCCUCGGCGGAAUCCGUGACAGUCUUUCAUUUAAAUCACCAUAGAAACGGCCCCUCUCAAAGUUGAUUGACCAAGGUUAGAGGAAUAGAAAGCCACGGAUCUGGUGAUGAAAAAGACGAGGUUAUCAAGUUGAUUUUGAUUGGUCCAAACCGCAGAAACACCUCCAAAUGUUACCACCUCCCAACACUGAAAAUUGGAAGAGAUACAACCAAGAGCUGGGCAGUUUAAACCAGCAAUGGACACAACAAACUAACGUUCUUAUUUAAUCAACACUGUUAAGUACAUGCUAGCAGAUUCCCAUAGACUUCCAGUCAUUGAGCUAACGUUAAUUAGCAUUGGCUGGUGAAACUACCUUUAACUUCCGUCAUACUGGACACAGAGACAAAUGGUAUCCACAAGUUCAUCUGACUCUGGGUAAGUACAUAAAGUGCCUUUUUUUUUUUCUUAUUGUGUGUUAUUUUUUUUAAGGGCCUCAUUGCCAAAAUCAAUAAGUAUCCCUUUAGGGUUAUAAUAUUGUAGAGAACAAUCUAAUGAUUAGUUGAAUGUGAUUCAUAAUGACAUAGGGCAAAGAAAACUACGUUUAGACAUUCAUUUAGUAGCACCCUCUUGAAUUUACCUGUAUUUCACUACAUUCUAGAGCAGUAAGUGAACGCCCUAUAUUAUAGCAAAAUGAAUAUGUGUGGGCAACAGCACUGUAUUAUAUUCCACCAUGCUUCAUUCUAACUGGCUGUUUGUUGGGUGCAGUCUGGUUUUGGCAGGAAUUAUCGUGAGCUGAUUAGGUGGAAUGAAGUCCAAGCGAAGCGAGAGUAGCGGGCGCGUCAGUCGCCCACGCUGUAGUGCCCCAGGCAGCCAAGGAAGCAACAACACUGCAGUGGCUCCACUGAUCCCUGAUGAACCCUAGAGGCCCCAGGCGGGUGCCCCUCUCUCUUCACUCACGCUGCACUGAGCUCAGAGAAGACAAAUCUACUUUCGGUCCAAUACUGAUCCAAGGCGUAGUGAUGAUGACUUACUGGGCUGCUUCUGAACAUUCAAGGUGCUUCAAGAUACAGACAGGACAAGUCUGGAGGGGGUCUGCACCCUGGGAUGGCACAGCCAUGACAGUGCUGCCUCUGGGAGCGUGACGAGAGCGAAUGAAGAGAAGAGGGAAAAUGAUAUUUGGAACCUGACUCCUGCCUCCGCUUCACUCCUGCC